GUCGCACCUACCGAUUGAAUGGUCCGGUGAGGCCUCGGGAUUGUGGCCCCUGCCAUUAAUUUGGUGGAGGCCGCGAGAACUUGUCCAAACCUUAUCAUUUAGAGGAAGGUG
This 111-nucleotide ribosomal RNA is filed under the name uncultured eukaryote. RNAcentral's name for it is "partial small subunit ribosomal RNA". It matches the Rfam family "Eukaryotic small subunit ribosomal RNA", at positions 1675 to 1785 of the family's 1831-position model. The record is from RNAcentral.